This is a long non-coding RNA of Equus asinus (donkey), 924 nucleotides long. The record is from Ensembl. NCBI's taxonomy places the organism in Eukaryota, Metazoa, Chordata, Mammalia, Perissodactyla, Equidae.
UUUCCUUCACUUUUCUUAACUCUCUUAAUAUUUGUGUUCAUGUUUUACUACCCUUUCUGUGGACUUUCUAUAAGUAAAAUUGUAGAGGGAGGGGACACCUCAUUAAAAGAAAAUUCUUAAAUGAAGGAUUGGAUUUUCUUUUAUACGUGCUGUGAGGUGGUCCAGACUGGUGUAUCAGGAUUGUGUCUGAAUGUUUGUGUGAUGGUUAAUUUUAUGUGUCCACUUGACUGGGCCACAAGGUGCCCAGAUAUUUGGUCAAACAUCAUUCCGGUGUGUCUGUGAGUGUGUUUUCUUGAUGAGAUUAAUAUUUGACUCCGGGGGCUCGCUAAAGCAGAUUGCCCUCCCUAAUGUGCCCGCCCUCAUCCAAUCAGGUGAAGGCCUGAAUACAACGAAAAAGGCUGAGCUUCCUGUGAUGGAGGGGAACUCCUCCUGCUUGAGUGCAGAGCUGGGACAUUGGUCUUUUCCUGCCUUCAGACUUGAAUUGAAACCUUGGCUCUUCUUAGGUCUCAAGCCUGCUGGCUUUUGGACUGGAGUUUCUACCUUUGGCUGGUUCUCAGGCCUUUGGACGUGGACUAGACUCACACCAUUGAUUCUCCUUCAUCUCCAGCUUGCUCACUGCAGACCUGGCGGCUUCUUAGCCUCCUUAAUCACCUCACUUAUUCUCUCUUUAUGUGAUCUGCUGCCCAAGCCGUAAGGACACUUGAAAUUGGAAAUGGCUGAUACUCAAAUGAGUAUAAGCCAAACAUGGCUCAUUUAACAGAAAAUAGACUGCUGUAGAGUAAUGGAGGAAACAGGGAGACCAGUAAGGGGGCCCCUCAAUUAGCGCUUCUUUGGGGAACCAGGUAAGGAAUUUGUGUACUUGAAUUCCCUUUUGAUUUUUGGACUGUGUACCACUGACUGCUGUUCUCUGAACUCUGACAAGAC